Molecule: ribosomal RNA, 301 nt
Filed under: uncultured bacterium
Lineage: Bacteria
Description: partial 16S ribosomal RNA
Rfam family: Bacterial small subunit ribosomal RNA
Source: RNAcentral
CAGUAGCCGCGGUAAUACGAAGGGGGCUAGCGUUGUUCGGAAUUACUGGGCGUAAAGAGCGCGUAGGCGGCCAUUCAAGUUAGAUGUGAAAGCCCUGGGCUCAACCUAGGAAUUGCAUUUGAUACUGUUUGGCUUGAGUUCGGGAGAGGUGAGUGGAAUUCCCAGUGUAGAGGUGAAAUUCGUAGAUAUUGGGAAGAACACCAGUGGCGAAGGCGGCUCACUGGACCGACACUGACGCUGAGGCGCGAAAGCGUGGGGAGCAAACAGGAUUAGAUACCCCUGUAGUCCGUCUCUUAUACAC